Molecule: long non-coding RNA, 8969 nt
Organism: Cavia porcellus (domestic guinea pig)
Lineage: Eukaryota; Metazoa; Chordata; Mammalia; Rodentia; Caviidae
Exons: 7
Source: RefSeq, a predicted model, not a curated record
GGCGCGCCGUCCCUGCAAACGCCGCCUGCCUGCUCCCCUGAGCGGGCCAAAGGCUCAGCCACCCGGAGAAACCACCUCCCCAGGAUUCUGAGCCCCGCAGGAUCCUGGUUUCUGCCUUCCCUCCGGGAUUUACAGCUCCUCAGCUAGGAAACCACCGCGAUGCCACGGCAACUGCCGCUUCCCUCCUCUCUUCCUCCUCAGCCAGCUCUGCUGGAUGAUUCCAGAAUUGCCCUCCAGCGCCAGGCUCCUGUGUGGCCCCUCGCCCCAUCCCUGCUCGAUUUAUCUUCCAGGACAACCAGCCUCCAGAAUUCAACUGCAGGCGUUCACCCCCAGGUGACUCCGGGGAUCCUAGACCCCCAAAGGCUCUGCCUCCAAGGCGUAGUCAGAUCAGCUUUCCACCCUCUUGAUACCUUAACACACCCAGCCCACCGUCCAAUACUCCCCGAGGCUUCAUAUCCAGACUCCUGCACACUUCUCCGAUUUACAGUUGUCUUGUUCAGUUCCUCUGUCUUCUCAACGCCAUUGGUGUUUUUGGUUUUUUGCUCCAUCACAGGGUCUCUGGUGACAGCAGGUGACCUGAAGAGACCCAGAGGAGCAGGAGGCUGUGUCUGUUCUCAAAGCCAAGGCCCCUGGGAAGAAGAAACAAAGCCUCCUCUCUGGGCCUCGGUGUGUCUGCUCCAAGAAGAGACUGAGUGAGCCAGGCUGGGGCGCGAUGUGAAGGAGGAGAUGCAAGCAACACAGAAGGUGUGAAAAUUCCAUGAGCUUUUUACAUGCCAGGCCUAGUUAAUCCUGAGAAGACCUGCCAGGGAACCAUAAAACUCAUGAUCAAGAGCACGGGCUGGACUCCCAGACUCCCUGGUUUGCAACCUCAGCUCCACACCCAAUUGCUCCAGAGGUCAGCGGAGCUGUGGGUUGGUGCUCGCCUCAGACACCCUCAUCCUGCUGAGUGGGACCUCGGUUUCUGCGGCUGAGACAGCAGAGCUCCGGGGGAAGUUACUGCCCCGGACUGUAUGUAAGUGGCUGGACCCCGACAGCCUCUGCAUUUGGCUGCUUUCUUCUGUCCCUCCAGCCAGCAGAAGGGACGAGAGAGCGAGAAGCGGCCGAGGUAGCUAGAGGUUCCAGUCUGGCUGCUGCAGACUGGUCUGCGGCGCUGUGGAAUCGCCUUUCCAUGGCCACCAGUGCCAGGCCCGGAGGAGGCAGACCUUGACCGAAUUCAACCCAAUUUUAGCAGCUGGGGAUUUUAAUGGUAAGUGUGGGGAUGAGCCAAGUGUGGGUGAAACACUGCUGGUGGCAGGCAAGGAGGGAAUGACCAGACAGCCGCCAGUGCCUGCAGAUGCUUUGUGACCACGAGGGGGCAGCAGAGCCCAGGCCCUGCCUUAGAGCCGACUGCAAGGCCGAGCUGCUCCAGCGCGAAACGCGUCCUGAGCCGCCCGGCCCGGGUCCUAAUAAGCCAGCUCCAAAAUGUUAAGCAUGACAGCGAUGAAGGGGACUUUAGAAGCGACCUGGUUCUUAUCUGGUAGAGAGCCAGACGGCAUUCAAAGGCUCAUAUGAUUUCGCCCAAAUCGAAGCCGGAGAACUGAUGGCAAAGUCGGAAUUAAUACCCAGGGCCCUGCCUCUAGCGCUACGGAGACAAACGUGAGCCCAUUUCCAGGAGGAGCAUGCGGAGAGUCCGUGCUCCGUCUGGAAGUGAGUCCCUGCCUCGAGCAAGAGCAGGCGAGGCUUGCCUCAUGACACCCUGGGGUGGCAGAUGGAGUCCUCCUGACGCCCCUCGGCAUCUCUAGACCCCAGCGCAGCAGGGCCACUUCCCGUAGCGAGGAGGAGACCACGCCGGCGGCGGUGGCGAGACACCCGACCGCGCACAGUGUGACAGGAGGAAGGGCUGCGAGCCACGUAGAGUAACAAAAUUGCUUUUAUUUUUAGUUUUUAUAAAUAUAUAUAUAUAGUAUUUGCUAAUGACAAAACAGAACCCAUAAAAGCAAGAACGUUAACAAUACUUAUGUUCUUGGAAAUGCAAAGAUGAACGCUGCGUGUUUUUAAACAGAUGCUAGGUUCUUGGGCACCGGGGCGCCGGGCGCUGUCCUUGGUCCUGAACGCGGCUGACUGCAGCAGGAACCUCUGGCGCGCGGUGGGAAGGCCUCCUCUGGCGUGGUGCGCAGCGACCCCACGGGAGCUGCUGCGUGGUCUCUGUCCUCUUCCUCCUCGGUCAGCGCAGGGCUGCGCCUCAUCUGGUUCCCAAUGCUCGCAGCGGGGUCACUGCUCCAGUAGGAUGACCGGGUGGAGCUCUCACUCCCGGACCCGCAGCGGCCUGCAAAACUCCUUGUCCUUACAGCUGGGUGCCUACCACCUGGGGCCUCUGAAUACGGACCUGGAAAGAGAGGGAAGCUCUGAGCGCGGGAGGUUAAGAGGCUUGGGCCUAGAGAAGUGCUCGGCUUAGAACUUGUUCUAGAACCUGAAGCCUGGCACCAAAAUAUAUGACUUCCUUCCUUCCCCAUCCUGGCAUCUGGCCCGAGGUUUCACGUCUGCCCCAAGGCUCCCUGUCUAGAGUACAGUGUCACUCGGUGCUCCUUCUGUCUCACUGCAAUAUCAGUGUGGUCAUCAAGGUUAGUCUCCUUUUAACCCAGGGACCAGUCUUGGCCUUAGUCACCAUGCGAUGCUACGCAUCUCCUGAGGGCUGCGGUGGGAGCAAAUGAGUCUUAUCAUGCCUUGAUGGUUGGUUGGUUUUAAUUUUGAACUAUAUAUCUAAGUAAAAACAAUACUACAGAUAGUGUACUUCCUCCAGAGAGCAAUGUUUAAGUUGCAUAUUUUUUCUUCAUAUCUGUCUAUUCAAUUUUGCUGAGCCAUUUGGAAGUCAGCUGCAAAUAUCACGACAGCCGCUCCGUCAGCCCUUCUGUGCAUAUUCCCAAAUGGUAUCACAAAGGAAUAUUCAAACUUGGAGUACUGGACUCUCUUCAGUUCCAUCCUAGACUCUUUUAAAAAUAUAAGGCUGGGCAUGGAGGCACAGGUCUGUAAUUCCGGCACCCAGGAGGCUGAGGCAGGAGGAUCACUGCAAGUUGGAGACCAACCUGGACUACAAAGGGAAUUCAAGGCCAGCCUGAACUACAUAAUGAAACCUUGUCUCAAAGAGACAAAAACAAACAAACAAAACCUCCACAUUUUUAUUUCUUUUGUUUUUGGAGACAGGGUCUUACUUUGGAGCUGAAGCUGGCCUUGAACUUACGGUGGCCCUUGCUUCAGUCUCCCUAGUGCUGGGAUCACUGGUAUGUACCACCACACCCAGCCAAAAACACAGUAUAUUUUUAAAGCAUGAGUUGGUUCCAGAUGAAAAGACAAAAAAAAAAAAAAAAAAAAAAAAAAAAGGAAAGAAAGAAAGAAAGAAAGAAAAGUCAGUGAGUGAAAUUUGUUGUAUCUACAUAUGGAGAAAAUAGUUACCAAAGAUUCUUUAGGCUGAAUGUGGCACAUGCCUGUGAUCUCAGUGCUCUGAGGCUGAGGCAAGAGGAUCACAAGUUGGAGCCCAGCCCGGGCAACUCAGUGAUUUAGUGAGAUCCUAUCUCAAAUAAAAAAGGGUGAGGCUGUGGCUCAGUGUGAAGGGCCUGGUGUCAAGCCACACUGCUGAGAGAGGAUUUCUUAGGUUGUUAUAAAAGUUAGAUACUGGGUAAUUCACUGUAUGCAGGGAUGAUAUUUGGGGGUAGGUAGCGAAGGGUUGAGGGAGGGACUGUGGUCAUAUCCACAGCUGACUUCCAAACGGUUCAGCAGACAUUGAAGAGACAGAAGUGAAGAAAGAAAAUUUGCACCUUAAACUCUGGAGGAGUUAUACAAGUAUGUACUGGGGGAGGUAUACAAGUAUGUACUGUAGUAUUGUUUUUAUUUAGAUGUGUAGUUCAAAAUUAAAAUCAACCAACCAACCACCAUCAAGGACGUAAAGUGCGGGAUGGAACCCCAGGGCCCGAGGCCUCAGGGUCUGUGAAGGCAGAGUCCACGUCGCUCAGGCUUCCUAUGGAGUUACACUAAUUUCCUGGCAGCUGGGUCUAGGGACCAAAGGCCGGACCAAAUGAAUCAUCAGUGUGACUUUGCUUUCCUGAAGGUCAUCACACAUGGGAAGGGGGAUGCAGGCUCAAGGGAAAGGAGGCCAAUCUCCUGGCCAUGCUACCUUGGCUCUGGAGUCCACGUUGUCCAGGGAGGGCUGGAAGUUACCGUAGAUAGAGUCCAGAUGUGCAAAGUCUAGAGGAGACGGAAGCCCCGCCGAGACAGAUGGUUAGGACAGUGAACGAUCCUCUCACCCUCAAAGCCCACCCAGAGAAACAGAACCACUGAAAAUGGGGCAGAUUAUCUAAACCAGUGGUCCCAAACCCCUGGGCAUAGGCCGCUGUGGGUCUGUUAGGAUCCAGGACACACAGCAGAGGGUAAGCUACAUUCUCAGCCUGUUUUAUUUUUUAUUUUGAGACAGGAUAUUACUAACUCUCUAAAUUGCCCAGGUUGGGCUCAUGCUUGCGAUCUUCCUGACUCAGCCUCCCAGAGUUUUAGGAUUACAGGUGUGUACCACCACGCUCUCUGAUUGGCUCCCAGAUGAUUUAAAGAUAGGAAAUAACACUUCUCUUCCCACUGUUAAGCCCUGGCAUCCUUCCCUGUGCCUCCUCUGUGUGUCCCCAUGCUCUGAGCCACUCAGCCCAGUGGGCAUUGCCAAUACCUUCCCUGAUGUCAAAGUUAGCAUUCCAGAUGGUUCCAGGGAUGGAUCUGCCACCGUCUUCGUACCACUUGAACAACUGAGACACUCUGAACUUUUCUCUAUUGACAGAAACACCAGAGACCUCAUUAUGCCCAGGGAGCAGGGAUAAGGACAGGGGGACAAGCCACGGGGACAAGCCAUCAAGCGGGGAGAGACUGACAGCACCGAGAAGGGAGGAGUAUGUGGCGGGGCUGGGGGGCUCACUUUUUCGCCACUCUCCUGCUGUGCAGCGCAAACACCAGGAGGAUGACCAGGAUCAGGAGCAGUACCACGGCGCUUGCACCCGUGAGCCCAUACACCAGGCUCUUCUGGAUGCCCCACUCACAAGUCUCCCCCUGGUACCAGUGAGUAGCUGUGAUCAGGCAGCUGAGAACAGAGAGGACGGAGGCGGAAAGAACAGUCAGUACCUGCCUUGGACCCAGCUGGGACCCAUGCGUGCCUUAAGCCCUGUUCCUCUCCUCCCUGGACCAGCAGGGGAGCCCCUCCUACAGGAAAUGAUCCCAGAGUGACUCGGGCCUCUGCUCAUGAGGCUCCUGCUUCCAGCCUGGUGCUGGGCAGCUGGUGACUCUGUUUAAUUCAGUUUCAGCUGGCAAAGCCUCUCUGAGGCUGGGCUUGGCAGGUUCCCCACUCCCAUGGCUAAGUGGCCACCUUUGGUACUCUGUGGCAAGGAAUGGGGUUCUGAUGGGGUAGGGGGCCUAGGAGCUUCCUGAAGCUCGGGUCUUCCUUUGCUCCCUCAGAUCUUGCCGAUAUCCUCAGCCUUGUGCAGCACAAUAGGACACCAGUUCGGGCAGCUCUGGAGUCAUCCAGGGGCUCUUCCAGUCUUGGCCGUGGGGCUCUGCCGCGCAGGUCCCUCUGACCCCAGUGUGAUUCUCUUGGGACUGGAUGCAGUCAGGACUCUGUGACCUCAGCCUGCAGGCAGCAUCUGACUGAGCCCAAAGACAGGCUCUGCCUCUCUGUGCCCUGGGAGCUCAGGGAUGAGACAGAGAGAGAGAGAGAGGACAGGACAGGAGGUCAACACCAGGGGCUCCUACCUAUCUAUCGGUAUCCAGCUAUCUAUCAAAAUGAAGCCUAUGUUGCACAGAACGGGCUCAAGGAAUCCUCCUGUCUCAGCUUCCCAAGUCACUGGGACUACAGGGAUUCCGGCGUAAAUCUGAUUCAUCUGAAAGAAGAGGGCCCUGCAUCAUCCUGGAGAUCCCACCUUUGGGCCUGCCAGGCCUUUCCAUGGACAGAAAGCACCUCUGGCACUGUCCAGUCCUCAACCCCCCUGCCUGCAAUGCAGUGCCUUUCCAGAGCCCAGCACCACCCUGGUACCACCCCUACUGCAGCCCCUCAGGCAAGCUCCCUGGUAACCCCAGAGGGCAUGGAGGAGCUGAGAAAUUCACACGUAUCUACCAGGAAAGCAGCCCUCAGCUGCUUUCUGUGCAUGUGUGAACACAUGGCACUAGGCACUGAACCCAGGGUCUUCUCACCAGCUACAUCCCCAGACAGCACCCCCCUUUUAAAUUUAUGAUGGAGACUAAUAAAUCACCCAAGUAGGACUCAAAUUUGCACUUCUCCUGCCUCAGCCUUCCAGAGUUCUGGGUCUACAGGCCUGCAUCACCGCACCUGGCUUCUUUCUUAACAUCUCUGGCUCCUCCCUGGCGGGGAGGGAUUUGCUCUCCCCGGAUUACCUGAUCUGUGAAUGUGGUAUUGAAAUUCUUGAAUUCUUCCGAAGACCGGUUCUCCAGCUUUGUGUUGUACUGCUGACUGGUCACUGUCACAGAUAGAUCCAUGAGAGCAGCGACCGACCGAGGCACAGCUGAGGGGAGAGGGCAGCACUGUUUACCGAACCAACACCCCAUGGGCUCCCUACCGAGGAGACCUGUACCCACGCCCCAGCGCCGGGUGGAGGCAGAGACCUGGGCCUCGUGUCCUGUCCUGAGAGGCCUGGGGCCUCACUCACCCAUCUCCAUGCCGUCGACCACAUCUUCACAUUUUGGCCCAUGGAAGAGGAUGGUGCACUGGCACUUGAGCCCAUCCCAGGAGCCUCCGUUGUGGCAGACGUUGGCCACGUACUGACACCGAUCUCCCUCAAAGUUGUCGGGGCACUCGCAGGCCUCCCCGUUCCAUUUCCCACCAUUGAGGCAGCUCACUGGAAGACACAGAUGGCACAACACGUCAGAGCCUGGAACCUGGUCCCGAGGACAGCGGCACGACACCCCACUGCACCAGGCAGGAGGAAGAGGCAGAGACAGGCUAAGAGGCCGGGCCGGGGUCCAGGUCCAGGUGGGCUUGACCCAGUCCUAGACUCCAGUUCCUGUUACUUCAGCCCAAAAAUGUGAGCAAAGACAACUGCGGGCCUGUGCCAGGGGAGAGCCGAGGGAAGGGAGACGGGAGACAGAGGCCGGGAGAACCCGGGGGAAAUGACCCCUGAGGCUGCACCACAAGCGCGGUCCUUCAGUGCCUGCUUCAGAAGAGCACCACUGGACCUUGUUGCUUUGAGGGCUAGUUGGCCUUCCUGUUUGGUCUCCUAGCAUGGGAGGUGUGUAGGGUUUAAACAGCCAGCAAGUGCUUAUGGACAACUCGACUGUCCACGCUGAUCAGCCGAGAACAUCCAAAGCUCUGUUCUCUUUGGCUUUCCUUGAAAAUCGCUGUGCCUGUGUAGAUCAGAAUCCAGGUGUGUUUGUUCUGGGGAGGUACACGAGGUAGGAGUACCCUCUGCAGAGACGUGCCACACCUCUGACCUCUGAUCUCAGCAAGAGGGGACACAGCCAUGACAAUCACAUCACGCAGCUGCUGUAUUUCAUCCAAGACAUUUUGGAAGCAUGGACAACAUAAGCCAAGGGUCCUGGGCAAACGGGAGACCCGAAAAUCCUUAAUCAGCUCAUUCCCUACCCUUUUCUCCCCCUCUUUCUCCUUCGGGCAUUACUGAGGGUGCCCAGGCACAGCUAACAAGAAGCUACGAAACGAUUUCAGAAAUGUUUAAAAACAUUUUUCCUUCUUUGAGUAUAGGAAAAAAAAAAUACCAAUCCCGACAUUGUUGAUAAUUAAGAUUAUGGCAAAUUACACUGAAAUUGUAGUUGCAAUAGUUUGCUUUCAAGAACUAUGAGAAUCUGUUAAUGUAACUAUUAAAUUAAAAGUAGCUUGAAAAGAUGUUAUAUAUUCAUAAUUAUGCUGUCCCACAAACAUUGGCAGUUUUGCUGCCAAUGAAUACUUCUGAUACUUUUCUGUGUUACAUCAAAAUAUUUUUAUGGUUUUUGUCUAUUGUAAAGGGAGCAAAGUUUCUUUUUUUGUGAAUAGAUACUUUUUUUUUUGUACCAGGGAUUGAACUCACAACAUCAUGCUUGCCAGUCAGGCACUGAGCUAAAUCCCCAGCCCAAUAGAUACAUUUUUGAUCUAUUUGCUACUUUAAUAAAUAAUGAACUUAAUUAAUGAUAAAGAAAAAGAAGCUACAAAUAUAAAACCAGCUUCUGGGAUGUGCUGACCUAUAGCCCAACAGCCUAAAGGGAAGGGCAAUCUUUGGUGGACAGGAAGUGGUGACCACCUGCCUUCAGUGAGGUGGCCAGUGCCAGCUGUGGUGCAGCCAUCUGGCAUUUUUGUGAGACACCUGCUGCAGUCUGAAUAUGAUUUGUCCUCAGAGGUUCCUAUGGGAAACCUGACCCCAGUGUGAUGGUGUUGAGGCAGUGCGACCUUCAAAAGGUAGAGCCAAGGAAGGUCAUCAUGAGAAUGUCACUUUCAUGAAUGAGUGAUGCUGGACUCACGGAAUGGAAAGGACCUCCAGGAGUGAAUUAAUUCCUGGAUUGUUAUGAAAAAAUGACCCUGGCCUCUACCCCACUUUUCCUCCCUCGAUGGCAGAUAUGACCCUCUGCGUGGGCACAUUUUCCUUUCCACUCAUCCACCAUGUUGUAAUGCCACCAGAGGACCCUUGCUGUAUCCCAGCAUUGUUGCAGUUUAGAGCAGUGUCCCUCAAAAUUCUCCUGUGUUCAGAGGUAGGGAUUUGGGAAGGCCGUCUACUCAUCAGUGAGUUAAUAACUCAUGAGUUCAUUGCUCAGUGUGCUGUCAGCCUGGCUGAGGUUGAUAACUGAGCUGUGACCUGGAAGACUAUGUUUCGUCUCUGGUUCUUGUCUCUGGCUUGCUUCCUGAGCAGCAUAAAGUGAGCUGCUCUCCUCUGCCAGGCCCUUCCACCUUGCUCUUUCUGCCUUGGAGCCAGCUAACCAUGGACUGAACCUGGUGGAACCAUAAACCAAAUAAACUUCUCCUCCUGUAA